This 447-nucleotide ribosomal RNA is filed under the name uncultured bacterium. RNAcentral's name for it is "partial 16S ribosomal RNA". It matches the Rfam family "Bacterial small subunit ribosomal RNA", at positions 330 to 793 of the family's 1533-position model. The record is from RNAcentral.
UCCAGACUCCUACGGGAGGCAGCAGUGGGGGAUAUUGCACAAUGGGGGGAACCCUGAUGCAGCGACGCCGCGUGGGUGAAGGAGCGUUUCGGCGCGUAAAGCCCUAUCGGCAGGGAAGAAGGAGGACGGUACCUGACUAAGAAGCACCGGCUAAAUACGUGCCAGCAGCCGCGGUAAUACGUAUGGUGCAAGCGUUAUCCGGAAUGACUGGGUGUAAAGGGAGCGUAGACGGUUGUACAAGUCUGAUGUGAAAGCCCACGGCUCAACUGUGGGAGUGCAUUGGAAACUGUAGAACUAGAGUAUCGGAGAGGCAAGUGGAAUUCCUAGUGUAGCGGUGAAAUGCGUAGAUAUUAGGAGGAACACCAGUGGCGAAGGCGGCUUGCCGGACGAAAACUGACGUUGAGGCUCGAAAGCGUGGGGAGCAAACAGGAUUAGAUACCCCUGUAC